RNAcentral lists this ribosomal RNA (253 nucleotides) under uncultured bacterium. RNAcentral describes it as "partial 16S ribosomal RNA". It matches the Rfam family "Bacterial small subunit ribosomal RNA", at positions 524 to 776 of the family's 1533-position model. The record is from RNAcentral.
UACGUAGGGUGCAAGCGUUGUCCGGAAUUAUUGGGCGUAAAGGGCUCGUAGGCGGUCCGUCACGUCGGGAGUGAAAACUUGGGGCUUAACCCCAAGCCUGCUUCCGAUACGGGCGGACUAGAGGUAGGCAGGGGAGAACGGAAUUCCUGGUGUAGCGGUGAAAUGCGCAGAUAUCAGGAGGAACAUCCGUGGCGAAGGCGGCUCUCUGGGACGGUACUGACGCUGAGACGCGAAAGCGUGGGGAGCGAACAGG